This 744-nucleotide ribosomal RNA is filed under the name uncultured bacterium. RNAcentral describes it as "bacterial SSU rRNA". It matches the Rfam family "Bacterial small subunit ribosomal RNA", at positions 8 to 796 of the family's 1533-position model. The record is from RNAcentral.
AGAGUUUGAUCAUGGCUCAGAGCGAACGCUGGCGGCAGGCUUAACACAUGCAAGUCGAGCGGGCGUAGCAAUACGUCAGCGGCAGACGGGUGAGUAACGCGUGGGAACAUACCUUUUGGUUCGGAACAACACAGGGAAACUUGUGCUAAUACCGAAUAAGCCCUUACGGGGAAAGAUUUAUCGCCGAAAGAUUGGCCCGCGUCUGAUUAGCUAGUUGGUGAGGUAACGGCUCACCAAGGCGACGAUCAGUAGCUGGUCUGAGAGGAUGAUCAGCCACAUUGGGACUGAGACACGGCCCAAACUCCUACGGGAGGCAGCAGUGGGGAAUAUUGGACAAUGGGCGCAAGCCUGAUCCAGCCAUGCCGCGUGAGUGAUGAAGGCCCUAGGGUUGUAAAGCUCUUUUGUGCGGGAAGAUAAUGACGGUACCGCAAGAAUAAGCCCCGGCUAACUUCGUGCCAGCAGCCGCGGUAAUACGAAGGGGGCUAGCGUUGCUCGGAAUCACUGGGCGUAAAGGGUGCGUAGGCGGGUCUUUAAGUCAGGGGUGAAAUCCUGGAGCUCAACUCCAGAACUGCCUUUGAUACUGAGGAUCUUGAGUUCGGGAGAGGUGAGUGGAACUGCGAGUGUAGAGGUGAAAUUCGUAGAUAUUCGCAAGAACACCAGUGGCGAAGGCGGCUCACUGGCCCGAUACUGACGCUGAGGCACGAAAGCGUGGGGAGCAAACAGGAUUAGAUACCCUAGUAGUCC